RNAcentral lists this long non-coding RNA (2435 nucleotides) under Canis lupus familiaris (dog). RNAcentral describes it as "lncRNA (ENSCAFG00000056540.1)". Lineage: Eukaryota; Metazoa; Chordata; Mammalia; Carnivora; Canidae. The record is from RNAcentral.
UAAAAAAAAGAAAAGCUCCAAGUGAACAGAGUUAACUUGUUAAAUCAGAAUGGUUCUCUUUGACCCACUCUGGUCUAUUGUGUAAAUAUUUAUUUAGACUAUUUUAAUAAUACAUAUUAUUUACCCCACUGUAACAUCAUGUAAACUAAAUAUGUUUUUAAACAAUUUUUAAGACUUGUAAUUACCCUGAAAAUACGGUUUAUAAUGCAAAGCCCAGACCCUUUGUCACUCUCGGGGGCUGCCCUUCAGUCUCGUGGCUCCAAGCCACUUUCUUGCCUCCCUUUUACAGAAGCCUCUUUUCCUCCCAGUUUUUUCUCCACUGAGGGCAGACUUCAAGACAUUUUCCAGUUCCAGAUCUCUUUUUUGACAUAUUGGAUGGAAUUAAUUUACACAUGAUGGAAGAGGUUCUAAGGUGUACAGGAAAAAAGCACUUACAUUGGGGCAAGAAAUCCCAGUGACUAGCUACGGUUCAGUUUACAAAAAAACCAGCCUGCUUAUUUGGAAAGUAAUUUUCUUCCAGUAGUUGUUAAUGAUUCACUAACAAAGCAAGGGAUCCUGAGGAUUAAAUAGUUAUAAUCUCCAUAAUCCACAAGUUCCAAGAAAAAAAUAUAGGCAGAGUCUUAUCCCAUGGGUUGCUUUAAAAAUUCUUACUACACAAGUUAGGGCAUCUGCUGGAAAUAUAAUGUGAGCCACGCCGGUCAUUUUAAAUUUUCUAGUAACCGCAUUUUAAAAAGUAAAAAGAAACGAGUGAAAUUGACUUUAGUAUAUUUUAUUUAACUGGCUAUAUCAAAAAUACUAUAAUUUUCAUGUGAAAUCAACAUGAAAAGUGACAGAUAUGUAAGUCUUUGAAAUCCAGUGUCUCAAGCACAUUUCAGCUCAGACUGCCCAUAUUUCAGGUUUUCAGUAGCCACGUGUGGCUAGUGGCUGCAGGAUUGAGCAGAGGUGAUCUACACUCAUUCUUUCAAAUAAGAUACUCCAUUAGCCUCAGAGUAUGGGCAACUCCCAGUUACGCGGGUCUGUUCAUCUGGAUUUGUAGGUCCUCAGGCCUCUGAUUUAUCUUUAAUUUCUGCUUUCCGCCUUGUGGCUGCUCUAUUGAUCUUUUGCAUAUUCCCCACAGCCAGAGAAGAAAGCUGAGCUGUGUCUUUGGGAGUCUCGUGAGGAACUGCGGUAGAGUAUCCUCUGGAAGGGGAAGAGAGUCCAGUCAUUAGCCUGUCCAAGGGGGUCAUCUGUAGAUUCAAUGUCUAGUCUCUCACAGACUCGGAUAGGAGAACUUUCUCUUGAUGACACAGUGCUCUCGCCCUUCCCACAGUCAGUAGAACCUUUGUGGUAGAAUGGACUCUUGGGGCGGACCCAGAAGGCCAUUACUGCUGAUAGAAACAGCCUAGCCAAAACUCUGAACACAGUCUGGGUUUUUCUUUUAUGCCUGUGAAAAAGAAAAUAAGAGCAAGCCUCCCCCCCCCCCCCAUUUCAGUUAAGAGAAAUCCAUUCACCUAACAGCUUCUGAACCUCUUUCUGCCUCUAAAUAGAAGUAGUUGAGGUCGAUGAGGAAGGGGCUGCCUCAGGAAAAUUUGAAGCCCAAGGGAUUCUUAGAGCUGCACAGAUGUCACCUGCAUCACGGAGACCCUGGGAAUGGCCGGCAUGCUAACGGGCGUCGGUGUGAGUCCACAGCCUUUCUUUGCUUGCUGCCUCAGAAAGGGGGCCGGGUCCAGACCACCACCACCACCACCACCACCACCACCACCACCAAGUCCUUUCCUCAUGAAGCUGUGCUGCCUCAGGCUGUUUAGGGACCAUUGCCUGUCUACUGGUGAUGCGAGUGUGUCUCUUUUCUUUAGUCCCUGGGCAGUGCUUGCUUAACGCUUUUGUUGAAUCAACAAAGGGCCCGAGGCCUUAGGUUUUUUGUUAAGGUCUCUGCCCCAGGCAUGGUGCUCAAUAUCUUGGCCAAAUAAAUUACUUUCCUUGAAUAUCCAGCAAUCUUUUAGACUAAGCAAUGAGGAGUUACCACCUCACCCUCAAACUCCAACAUGACCUAUGCCUUAGUGUUGUUUUUGUUGUCUGCUUUGAUAUAAAAGCAAGAGUAUUUGGAGCAAGAGCUGCAGUACUCCAAAUACACAAUAGGCCUUUUCUUUAUCAUUCAUACAACAUUUCUGGUUUAGGUAUGUGUAGAUGGGCCAUGUUGUUUGUCCACAGGAAGAGUGUAAAGGUAUAAGAAUAAUUUUUUAGUCCUAAACGAUGUUUUGUUUACUUUCUGUCAAGAUAUUUACCAGUGUCAAAUUCAAACUAUAGUACUGUGUAAUUAUGUAUAAAGUUUUUUUAUUUAUUUGAAAUUAGACUAGAUAUACAUUUUUAAAUUUAACAUCUGGCAGGACAGUGUUCUAUUAACUCAUUGAAUGUGUUUCCUUUGUCUUGUGUUAAUAAAUAUUGAUGCUUGAUUG